GGGAAGUUCCGUAUUAAAGUGUGCGCUUGUUCGCACCGACCUAUCGAAAGGGAAACAGGUUAAAAUUCCUGUGCCGGGAUGUGGAUUUUUGGCGGCAACGCAAACAAACUAGGAGACGUCGGCGGAAGCCCUGGGGAGAGUUCUUUUCUUUUCUUAACGACACGACCCACCUCGGAAUCAAUUUACUUGGAGAAGGGGUAGGUCUGUCGGCAGAGCUAGGUACUUAUGCCUGGUCCGGAGCGCUUUCGACGACCCUUGAAAAUCCUAGGGAGCGAAUAAUUUUCACACCCGGUCGUACUCAUAACCGCAUCAG
RNAcentral lists this ribosomal RNA (313 nucleotides) under Chloropicon mariensis. RNAcentral describes it as "partial Eukaryotic large subunit ribosomal RNA". It matches the Rfam family "Eukaryotic large subunit ribosomal RNA", at positions 1555 to 1862 of the family's 3401-position model. Lineage: Eukaryota; Viridiplantae; Chlorophyta; Chloropicophyceae; Chloropicales; Chloropicaceae. The record is from RNAcentral.